This 2267-nucleotide unclassified non-coding RNA is filed under the name Hevea brasiliensis (rubber tree). The record is from RNAcentral. Lineage: Eukaryota; Viridiplantae; Streptophyta; Magnoliopsida; Malpighiales; Euphorbiaceae.
UGACAAAAGAGAAGCUUAUAAAAGCAGCCUAUUGGGUUUCAAUUUCAUUAAGUUUGGCUUCAUGAAAUUCAAAACCACCUGCGUACACUUUAAAAUACUCCUAAUAACCUUUUCGAUUCAGAUGGAGAACUGCAAAAAGGCGGAUUCUGUCUGAUUUUACUUUGCUUAAGAACAGCUAGGCAAUUCCACACCCCCACACACACAGAGGCGGUCACUAGUCAGGCUCCAUGUCUGACUCACAGCUUAUUCUCUUUCUUCUUCCUUCAAUUUUAUCUCUACUUCUUUUCUUCAUUCUCACUCGAAGAAAGCAAGCCAGAUUCAAUCUCCCUCCAGGCAACAUGGGUUGGCCAUUUAUUGGAGAAACCUUUGCCUACUUGAAGCAUUACUCUGCUACUUCAACUGGAGAAUUCAUGGAACACCACAUCGCAAGGUUUGGGAAGAUAUACAAGUCCCAUUUGUUUGGGGAGCCAACAAUAGUCUCUGCAGAUGCUGGACUUAAUAGAUUUAUAUUACAGAAUGAAGGGAGGUUAUUUGAAUGCAGCUAUCCAAGAAGUAUAGGUGGAAUUCUUGGAAAGUGGUCUAUGCUGGUUCUAGUUGGAGACAUGCAUAGAGACAUGAGGAUUAUAUCUCUCAAUUUUCUGAGCCAUGCCAGGCUCAGAACUCAUCUAUUGAGAGAUGUGGAGAAACAUACCUUGCUUGUUCUUAACUCUUGGAGGGAGAAUUUUAUAUUUUCAGCUCAAGAUGAGGCAAAGAAGUUCACCUUCAAUUUGAUGGCGAAACAUAUCAUGAGCAUGGAUCCUGGAAAGCCAGAGACUGAGCAGCUGAAGAAAGAGUAUGUUACUUUUAUGAAAGGAGUGGUAUCUGCCCCCUUAAAUUUGCCUGGAACUGCAUACAGGAAGGCCUUACAGUCUCGAUCAAUCAUCCUGAAGUUUAUAGAGCAAAAAAUGAAGGAGAGAAAUGGGAAAAUAAAGGGAGGAGUAGAAAAUUUGGAGGAAGAUGAUCUUCUUGGAUGGGUUUUGGAGCAUUCCAAUCUUUCUACUGAGCAAAUCCUCGACUUAAUAUUGAGCUUGCUCUUUGCUGGCCAUGAAACGUCCUCAGUAGCCAUAGCUUUAUCUAUCUACUUCUUGCAAUCUUGUCCAAGUGCUUUUCAACAGUUACGGGUGAGCAUCUUAUAUAUACUACCACUAAUAGUUUUUACCGAAAAUACUAGCCUUGAAAUAUUGUUGUAUUUGUUCUUUUUCUUUGAUCGUAAAUAGGAAGAACACCUGGAAAUUGCCAGAACCAAGAAGCAAUCAGCAGAGAAGGGCUUGAACUGGGAUGAUUACAAGAAAAUGGAAUUCACUCAAUGUGUAAUUAAAGCAUUCUUGAUGAUCUUCUUCUUUAUUCUCCAUGCCAAAAACUUCUGAAAGAAAUAAUAAAUCAAUGUUUUUCUAUGUGAAGGUUAUCAGUGAGACGUUAAGGCUUGGAAACGUAGUGAGGUUCCUGCACAGGAAAGCUCUGAAAGAUGUUCGAUAUAAAGGUAAAGAAAGAGAUUAGAACGGUGAUUAAAUAUUCUUAAUGCGGUGAAACAAAUCAAGAUUUCUGGGUCUCUGGGUUUAACUAAUUCGCGUAUAUAUAACUCUGAAAGGGUUUGACAUUCCACGUGGAUGGAAAGUGCUUCCAGUAAUUGCAGCCGUGCAUUUGGAUUCUAGUCUUUUUGACCAUCCUCAACAUUUCAAUCCAUGGAGAUGGCUGCAGGUCGGUAAGCUUUCGGAGUUAGGACAGACAUGCCUUCCUUAACUCAUCAUUAUUAUAUAUAAUUGUGCCCUUUUUUAUUUAUUAUUUAUUAAUUAUUAUUAGCAUUAUUUUAUUUAUUCAAGCUAAUAUACAUAUACAUUAAGAAGGGCCUCAAAUUUUCCAAUGGCUGGAUCUCAACUCAUGGGUCCCGUUGCAGGCAACUAGUAGCUGUGUUUUUCAUUGCUGUGUGUGGACCGCAUGAUUAAUUAGUAUAUUUUUCUCCAUUCUAAAACAUUUCCAUAGUUGGAGCUAUAAUUCAUUAGUGUCAUGCGUGUUUGUAUUUCAAUUAUUCACUAACAUUAAAUCAUUUCUUUUAAUUUUUAAUAUUAUAAAUCUUUUAGAAGAAGAAUAAUCAUAAGUAAAAUGCUUUACCUACUACAUAAUCAGUAUUUCCAAGAUAAUCAGUUCAUUUAUUACAAAUCAGUGUAAUUGAUUACUAUAUUAUUGCAAACCUUUAGUAUUUAAAUUUUAUUUUUAGAGCAGUGGCCUUA